RNAcentral lists this ribosomal RNA (445 nucleotides) under uncultured bacterium. Its description in RNAcentral is "partial 16S ribosomal RNA". It matches the Rfam family "Bacterial small subunit ribosomal RNA", at positions 338 to 795 of the family's 1533-position model. The record is from RNAcentral.
CCUACGGGUGGCUGCAGUCGAGAAUCUUUCACAAUGGUGGAAACCCUGAUGGUGCGACGCCGCGUGGGGGAAUGAAGGUCUUCGGAUUGUAAACCUCUGUUAUGUGGGAGCAAAUUCAAAAGAUAGUACCCCAAGAGGAAGAGACGGCUAACUCUGUGCCAGCAGCCGCGGUACUACGGAGGAUGUGAGCGUUAUCAGGAUUUAUUGGGUUUAAAGGGUGCGUAGGCGGGCUGUGAAGUCAGCGGUAAAAGCGCGGGGCUCAACCCCGGCGAGCCGUUGAAACUGGCUGUCUUGAGAUGGCGAGAGGUAUGCGGAAUGCGCGGUGUAGCGGUGAAAUGCUUAGAUAUCACGCAGAACUCCGAUUGCGAAGGCAGCAUACCGGCGGCGAUCUGACGCUGAGGCACGAAAGCGUGGGUAUCGAACAGGAUUAGAUACCCGAGUAGUC